RNAcentral lists this unclassified non-coding RNA (366 nucleotides) under uncultured Glomus. Its description in RNAcentral is "SSU rRNA". It matches the Rfam family "Eukaryotic small subunit ribosomal RNA", at positions 569 to 941 of the family's 1831-position model. The record is from RNAcentral. Lineage: Eukaryota; Fungi; Glomeromycota; Glomeromycetes; Glomerales; Glomeraceae.
CGCAGCCGCGGUAAUUCCAGCUCCAAUAGCGUAUAUUAAAGUUGUUGCAGUUAAAAGCUCGUAGUUGAAUUUCGGGGUUAGUAGGUUGGUCAUGCCUCUGGUAUGUACUGGUCUCACUGAUUCCUCCUUCCUGAUGAACCUUAAUGCCAUUUAAUUUGGUGUUUUGGGGAAUUUGGACUGUUACUUUGAAAAAUUGAGUGUUUAAAGCAAGCUAACGCUUGAAUAUAUUAGCAUGGAAUAAUGAAAUAGGACGUUCGAUCCUAUUUUGUUGGUUUCUAGGAUUGACGUAAUGAUUAAUAGGGAUAGUUGGGGGCAUUAGUAUUCAAUUGUCAGAGGUGAAAUUCUUGGAUUUAUUGAAGACUAACU